GCCUCAUGUAUCACUGUAGGGGGUAGAGCACUGUUUCGGCUAGGGGGUCAUCCCGACUUACCAAACCGAUGCAAACUCCGAAUACCUACAAGUGCCGAGCAUGGGAGACACACGGCGGGUGCUAACGUCCGUCGUGGAGAGGGAAACAACCCUGACCAACAGCUAAGGCCCCCAAUUCGUGGCUAAGUGGGAAAGGAUGUGGGAAUCCCAAAACAACCAGGAGGUUGGCUUAGAAGCAGCCAUCCUUUAAAGAAAGCGUAACAGCUCACUGGUCUAAACAAGGGUUCCUGCGCCGAAAAUGUAACGAG
Molecule: ribosomal RNA, 308 nt
Filed under: uncultured bacterium
Lineage: Bacteria
Description: bacterial LSU rRNA
Rfam family: Bacterial large subunit ribosomal RNA
Source: RNAcentral